GACGAACGCUGGCGGCGUGCCUAAUACAUGCAAGUCGAACGAGAGCGACCGGUGCUUGCACUGGUCAAUCUAGUGGCGAACGGGUGAGUAACACGUGGGUAACCUGCCCAUCAGAGGGGGAUAACAUCCGGAAACGGAUGCUAAAACCGCAUAGGUCUUCGAGCCGCAUGGCUUGAAGAGGAAAAGAGGCGCAAGCUUCUGCUGAUGGAUGGACCCGCGGUGCAUUAGCUAGUUGGUGAGGUAACGGCUCACCAAGGCCGUGAUGCAUAGCCGACCUGAGAGGGGGAUCGGCCACAUUGGGACUGAGACACGGCCAAAACUCCUACGGGAGGCAGCAGUAGGGAAUCUUCCGCAAUGGACGCAAGUCUGACGGAGCAACGCCGCGUGAGUGAAGAAGGUUUUCGGAUCGUAAAACUCUGUUGUUAGAGAAGAACAAGUGCUAGAGUAACUGUUAGCGCCUUGACGGUAUCUAACCAGAAAGCCACGGCUAACUACGUG
Molecule: ribosomal RNA, 498 nt
Filed under: uncultured bacterium
Lineage: Bacteria
Description: partial 16S ribosomal RNA
Rfam family: Bacterial small subunit ribosomal RNA
Source: RNAcentral